GAAUCCCGUGAACCAUCGAGUCUUUGAACGCAAGUUGCGCCCGAAGCCUUCGGGCCGAGGGCACGCCUGCCUGGGCGUCACGCAUCGCGUCGCCCCCCCGCCCGCCCGCUCCGGGCGGGGCGCGGGGGCGGAGUCUGGCCUCCCGUGCGCCUCCGUCGCGCGGCCGGCCC
RNAcentral lists this ribosomal RNA (170 nucleotides) under Schaueria gonatistachya. Its description in RNAcentral is "5.8S ribosomal RNA". The stretch from base 1 to 80 matches the Rfam family "5.8S ribosomal RNA", at positions 77 to 154 of the family's 154-position model. Lineage: Eukaryota; Viridiplantae; Streptophyta; Magnoliopsida; Lamiales; Acanthaceae. The record is from RNAcentral.